RNAcentral lists this small nucleolar RNA (131 nucleotides) under Tyto alba (common barn owl). Its description in RNAcentral is "Small nucleolar RNA SNORA27". It matches the Rfam family "Small nucleolar RNA SNORA27". From Rfam's summary of the family: ACA27 is a member of the H/ACA class of snoRNA that guide the sites of modification of uridines to pseudouridines. Lineage: Eukaryota; Metazoa; Chordata; Aves; Strigiformes; Tytonidae. The record is from Rfam by way of RNAcentral.
CACCCACCUUUCACUUUGCCAGUUAGACAGUUAUUGUCUUGAUUGGCCAUUCAAGGUGGGUAAAGUAUAUCCUUUUUAUAACCCAGGCAAAUGACGCUCAUUUGACUUGGAUCCUGUCAGAGGAAACAGUU